GAUUUAUUCUAUUUGUUUCUUAAGUUACGUUUAAAAAACGAAUCAACUAAUUUUCAUUACCUACAGUGUAAUAAUAUAUAAUGACUUAAUGUGAUCACUUCGGUGGUUUGUGAGUAGGUAGGUAUAGUCAUUAUACCUAAGUUCCAACAGAUAUUUUUUUUUCGUUGAAAUAAUCAAAAGUAAUGUUGUAUUAUAGAAAAUAUAAUAAUAGCUAGAAAAACGUGACAUGUAGUAUUAGAUUAAAUACUAGACAGUAAUUUUCAAAGUAAAAUUAAUGAGUAAAUCACACAGAUAUAGAAAAUAAACUAGAUAGCUAACUAGUGAUGAUAUAUGUUGUGAAGUUAUUAUCAGUCAUUUCGAGUUGGUCAAAUGCAUGGUAAAAUCCCACCAAAAUUUCAAUUCUUGUUGAAAAUAUUUGAAAUGUAAUUUUUUUUGUCAUUGGUAUUUAUUUUUGUCACAACUCACAAUAAAUUAUGAUAGUGUAUCUUCAAAAAUCCAAUUUUUAAUAUAAUAUUUAUUAAAUAUACAAAUCUUUAAAUGUAUGAUUUAAAAUUUUAAACAAUCAAGAAAUUACUUGUUACUUUAUUAAGUUAAGAUGCUAUUGAGUUGUUUUUUGAUCAUGCAAGAAGACGUUUUGGACAUAAUGAUAAUCCUGUCUACAGUUAAGGUAGGUAUGCUUUAACUGUUUUAAGAAGUACUUUACUGCAUAUUUCAAUCAAACAAUCAACGACAAUUGUUUGUUAUUGACUUCUCGUGAAGAUUCUUUGUUUUCAUUAAAACAGAAGUUAAAAAAAAAAUGAAAAUGAACUAGAAAAUGAGGAACAGCAGGAUAUGUAAUAAAAGAAAUAUUACCAGUAUUUACUUGUGAAAAAUGCAUUAAAGCUGUGAUAGAUGAUUCAAAUGUGCAUGAUCAUACAUACUGUACUAUAGAGAAUGAAUCAUUCAAAACUCUCGCAAGGAUGAAGAACCAGAGGAGGCUUAGAAUCAGUAUCGGAAAGUGUUUUCAAUCAAAAUCACUGACAUACUUUCAGUCUGUAGUUUCUGAUAAACUGCAAUAAUUGUUUAAGAAUAUAGAUAGUAACAGACAUACAUUGCAAGACUGAAGACCUAAUAAAAUGAAAUUAAUCAACUUAAUUUUACACAAAUAUAUUUAAAUAUAAGAUUACACUCUUAUAGCAAAAUAUUAACUUAUUCAAUAAUAAAGGUGGCUGGCAAAA
This is a long non-coding RNA of Aphis gossypii (cotton aphid), 1217 nucleotides long. RefSeq lists it as uncharacterized. Lineage: Eukaryota; Metazoa; Arthropoda; Insecta; Hemiptera; Aphididae. The record is from RefSeq and is a predicted model, not a curated record. The transcript is spliced from 3 exons.